Molecule: unclassified non-coding RNA, 240 nt
Filed under: soil metagenome
Description: partial contains 5.8S ribosomal RNA, internal transcribed spacer 2, and large subunit ribosomal RNA
Source: RNAcentral
AACGCACGAGACCUGCGGACCUGCGGAAGGAUCAUCAUUGAAUAACAUUUUUUAACCCAAGCUUGGAAGAGGGAAAAAAAGGAGGGCCAAAUGGUUUUUCUUUUCUUUUCUUUUCUGGCUUGGCACAAACAACUUUGAUACCCAAAAAGAGUUUCAUCUUCAGUCUUCAGCCUUAUUUACUUGGGUUGAUGGUUGGAGUUGGAAUUGGGGAGAGAGACCCCGAAAUAUUAUAACAUAGGU